Long non-coding RNA from Salvelinus fontinalis (brook trout), 1414 nucleotides. RefSeq lists it as uncharacterized. The record is from RefSeq and is a predicted model, not a curated record. Lineage: Eukaryota; Metazoa; Chordata; Actinopteri; Salmoniformes; Salmonidae. The transcript has 4 exons.
UAGUGCCAUACAACAGUUGUCAGAAAAAGACCUGGUACUCUAUGCUGAAAGUGAUAUGUUAUUACUGUGACAUCAGCCCCUCCAGCACAAGACUAUCAUCACCACAUCAAAUGUCAGUGGACACAAUGAUAAGACAUCAUGUCAUUACCCAGUUCCAACAGUAAUACAGCAGUCAAUCAGGGAUCGUGUCUAAUCGGGAGAAAUAAGGAAGUGUGUAAGAAGGAGUCUCAGACAACGGCGACCUAGGAGUCAGAACCUUUGACAGCUCAAAGGAGGAGCGAGAUGGAGCAUUACCUUAAAUUGAAAAGUGCUGGAUGGAGUGACCAGGGGGUAAAGGAUGAGAAUGUGGAAUUUGAUUCAGAUGAAGAGGAACCCUCAUCCCUCCCAUCCUCUCCCCCCACUGACUCAACAGAGGGCUGACCAGUUGAGCAGCAGUGACCAGACCUCAACACCACCACCUUCCCACAAUCCCUAGCCCUUUCCUCAAACCCUGCCGCUGACACAAAGGUCCCAUUUGGACAUACAUCUGUUGACUCACCAAUUAUGAAUGGCGCUCUGUUGCGGUAAUGACAACACUAUAAGAGCAGCACUAGAACAUCUUGAACUGUCUCCAUGCUUCCUUUGUUUACCCUAUCUCAGGGUAGACGCAUUGGUGCUUGAGACAAUGCUUUGACUGUUGUCACCCUGCGAGGGGUGGAAAGGGGAACGAUUCUCAGCACCCUUUGUGUUAUUCCAUUCGCCCAGUUUAUUUGGGUCCAUCACUUCCCCUGUUAAGGCUAAGCUGUGAGCUUACCAUAAAUCAUCAGCAGAUAGGACAAUAUUACUGCUAAUCUUGGUAGUUUAACCACCGGUUAACAUUCUUCAGAAGGUUCUCAUUUGUGGCUCACCCCUAGACCACUCUAUAUAUUGGAUAACCCCCCUCCCUAGAGAAAGGAAGCGUGCGGACUUAACGUGCGUUAGUUUAAAAUGAUGACUUUAAAAUGUGGCAAACUGAGUACCUGAUCAUUAUUUGUGAGCUCAUUGUGUGACUGCCACAAGACGUUUGGAAUGUUUGUUGACUGCAUCGACACAGGAGCUCAACUGUCUUAUGUGUCAUCAAGACUGAUGAUGUUAUGGAGUUAAAUUGUCAAUGCAAAAAGUCAUGUUGAUUCUAUCAUUUUACUUUUAGAUGACUAAACAAAACAAUUGUCCUCCACUGCUAACCAUGUCUGUUUUAAUAACCCAGAUACAAGGGAGUAAAAUAAAGCACCACUUAACUUAGAACUGUAUACCAGGUCAGUCACUAAAUACCUUGCAUGGUACCCUACAUAACUAUAAAUACACAUGCAUUUUACUGUGGCUGAAUGAUCAAAGGGUAAUAAAUAACCCCAGGAAUGGCAUCUGGUAUGACAAUACUGACCUUAAGUCAUUACAA